Molecule: non-coding RNA, 1484 nt
Organism: Drosophila melanogaster (fruit fly)
Lineage: Eukaryota; Metazoa; Arthropoda; Insecta; Diptera; Drosophilidae
Source: Ensembl
UAACCGAGUGCACAAUUCCCGUUUUGCCACCAUCACCACCCAUCCAUUUCAAUGUUAAGCGCAAGCGAGAGUCCUCUAGUCGACGUGGAUGUCUCGCAUAUUAAACGGGUCUUGACUCUACCGGUAUACCCAGAUAUAUAUGUAUAUAAAUAUAUACGAUCUGCCUGAUUUGAACCCCCUUUUGUGAUCGCAGCGUUUCAACUAUUACGUGUAGUUCGCGUCGCAUCCAACGAGGUGUCUUCGGCGUAUCGGAUCGAAUCUCUUUCACCAGAACCAGUUCCUCCGGGUUAUAUACAUACAUACAUUUGUACAUUUUAUCUGGCUAUCUACAUAUGUACAUGUGGCCCAGCAGCUGCGAGGCAGUUUAUUUACUGCCCGUGGAACCUACUGGAAACAGAACCCUUUCUCAAAGUCAAGUGGUGCGAUCUGAUCGCUGCUGCGCACGUUACGUCGUUAGUUUUUUUUUGUUUGCCAUUUUGUUUACUGAAUCGGCCGGGCAUAACCGACUUGGAUGGCUCAUAGCGACCACAUUGGGCUCGCGCCAUUAUCAUUAUCAGUCUGCUAAUUGCGCCCGUUGCCAACGGAUACGAUUACUCCAGUUCACACACAAUGGUGGCCUAGCCAUACAUAAUUGGUCCCUUACAAUGGGACCUUACUGUUCGCACUUCUUGGUAACGCGCACAAAGAAAAUUUCCAAUUUCCAAAAAGAAAGGGCUUUAAAAAAAAUGCAUCAGGUACAACAUGGCGUAUGCGCAAUAUGUUGUUAUGUUAUUUCAUUCAGGGAUUCAUUCUGAUCCCUCUUAUUAAGUGGCCUUCUUAUGGCAAAAGUUGCAGAAAGAGCAAUCCAUCUUCGUGAUGCCAGAAAGUGAGCACUUAAAGUUCGUUUCUACCUGAGCUCGCUUGCCAAGCUGUACAGAAAAACGCUCUAUUCAUAUUGUUCAUCAGUCGCAACAACAGCUGCAAAAAGAGAUUGCUUCUGCUGAAUCAUGGCGGCCAAAGGCAGACCAAAGCGGCACAAAAGCUAGACAGCUACGUUUCUACAAUAAAUCCCAAGUCGGAGCCAGAUUUCUAUGCCGGUGACGGUUGACUCUCUAUUGAGGGCGUUGCAAAUGUCAUUGUCGGUGACUUUCGAUGGCUGUGAUUCGAAUUCACAUAGCCAUUUCCAAUUCCCGGGUCCAGAUCGAUGAUUAUUGGUUGGCUGAAAAACGCACUUGCCAUAAUGAAAACCCAGCCGAGUUGCUGUUGCAAUGGAAAAUGGGUGGGAAAUGCCUGUGAUAUUCACGAUUGGCCAAUUGUCGGCAGUUCGAUGUAUCCGGAAAACAAGUACAUGCAUAUACAGCUGCGGGAGAAACAAUAGCGAUAACUACAGUUCAAUUAAAAAAAAAAAUAAUUAAUUGCUCUCUGCUUAACAAUUAACUUACCAUUAUGAUUGUCAAAAGUGCUUGGAAGCAAAAUAAAAAUAUUUCAGGUUGAAGGUCAAAUAU